AUGCCAAGAUCUCUUGUUUUUUGUCUUUUAAUAAUGGCCAUUCUGGCUGGGGUAAGGUGGCAUCUUGUGGUUUUAAUUCGCAUUUCCCUCAUGAGUAUUUUUUCAUGUUUGUUUGUCAUUUGCAUAUAUCUUCUGUUAAGAAGUGUCUAUUCAUGUCAUUUGCCCACUUUUGGAUGGGAUUAUUUGUUUUUUCUUGGUCUUUUCAUAGUUUCAAAUUCUUCCUGGUUUAGGCUUGGGAGGACACAGGUGUCCAGGAAUUUAUCCAUUUCUUCCAGGUUUACUAGUUUAUGUGCAUAGAGUUGUUUGUAAUAUUCUCUGAUGAUGGUUUGAAUUUCUGUGGAGUCUGUGGUGAUUUCCCCUUUAUUGUUUUUUAUUGCGUCUAUUUGGUUAUUCUCUCUUUUCUUUUUUAUUAAUGUGGCUAGUGGUCUAUUUUGUUGAUCUUUUCAAAAAACCAGCUCUUGGAUUUAUUUAUUUUUUGAAGGGAUUUUUGUGUCUCUGUCUCCUUCAGUUCUGCUCUGAUCUUAGUUAUUUCUUGUCUUCUGCUAGGUUUUGAGUUUUUUUUGAUCUUGCUCCUCUCGCUCUUUCAAUUUUGAUGAUAGGGUGUCAAUUUUGGAUCUCUCCAUUCUUCUCAUGUGGGCACUUAUUGCUAUAUAUUUUCCUCUAGAGACUGCUUUAAAUGUGUCUCAGAGAUUUUAGUAUGUUGUGUCUUCGUUCUCAUUGGUUUCGAAGAACUUCUUUAUUUCUGCCUUCAUUUCAGUGUUUAUCCAGUCGACAUUCAAGAGCCAGUUGUUCAGUUUCCAUGAAGCUGUGUGGUUCUGAGUUAGUUUCUGAAUUCUGAGUUCUAACUUGAUUGCGCUGAGGUCUGAGAGACUGUUUGUUAUGAUUUCAGUUCUUUUACAUUUGCUGAGGAGUGCCUUACUUCCAAUUAUGUGGUCAGUCUUAGAGUAGGUGUGAUGUGGUGCUGAGAAGAAUGUAUAGUCUGUGGAUUUGGGGUGGAGAGUUCCGUAAAUGUCUAUCAGGUUUGUUUGUUCCAGGACUGAGUUCAACUCCUGGAUAUCCUUGUUAAUUUUCUGUCUGGUUGAUCUGUCUAAUAUUGACAGUAGAGUGUUAAAGUCUCCCACUAUUAUUGUGUGGGAGUCUAAGUCUCUGUAAGUCAUUAAGAACUUGCCUUAUAUAUCUGGGUGCUCCUAUAUUGGGUCCAUAUAUAUUUAGGAUUGUUAGCACUUCUUGUUGUAUCGAUCCUUUUACCAUUAUGUAAUGUCCUUCUUUGUCUCUUUUGAUCUUUGUUGCUUUAAAGUCUAUUUUAUCAGAGACAAAAAUUGCAAUUCCUGCUUUUUUUUGCUCUCCAUUUGCUUGGUAAAUCUUCCUCCAUCCCUUUAUUUUGAGCCUUUGUGUAUCCUUGCAUGUGAGAUGGGUUUCCUGGAUGCAGCACACCAAUGGGUUUUGGCUUUUUAUCCAAUUUGCCAGUCUGUGUCUUUUGAUUGGUGCAUUUAGUCCAUUUCCAUUUAGGGUUAAUAUUGUUAUGUGUUAAUUUGAUUCUGCCAUUUUGAUGCUAGCUGGCUGUUUUGCUCAUUAGUUGAUGCAGAUUCUUCAUUUUGUUGAUGCUCUUUAGCAUUUGGUAUGUUUUUGGAGUGGCUGGUACUGGUUGUUCCUUUCUAUGUGUAGUGCUUCUUUCAGGAGCUCUUGUAAAGCAGGCCUGGUGGUGACAAAAUCUCUGAGUACUUCCUUGUUUGUGAAGGAUUUUAUUUUUCCUUCACUUAUGAAGCUUAGUUUGGCUGGAUAUAAAAUUCUGGCUUGAAAAUUCGUUUCUUUAAGGAUGUUGAAUAUUGGCCCCCACUCUCUUCUGGCUUGUAGGGUUUCUGCCGAGAGAUCUGCUGUGAGUCUGAUGGGCUUCCCUUUGUGGGUAACCCAACCUUUCUCUCUGGCUGUCUUUAGCAUUUUCUCCUUCAUUUCAAGCCUGGUGAAUCUGACAAUUAUGUGCCUUGGGGUUGCUCUUAUUGAGGAAUAUCUUUGUGGUGUUCUCUGUAUUUCCUGGACUUGAAUAUUGGCCUGCCUUGCUAGGUUGGGGAAGUUUUCCUGGAUAAUAUCCUGAAGAGUGUUUUCCAGCUUGGAUUCAUUCUUUUUGUCACAUUCAGGUACACCUAUCAAACGUAGAUUAGUUCUCUUCACAUAGUCCCACAUUUCUUGGAGACUUUGUUCAUUCCUUUUUGCACUUUUUUCUCUAAUCUUGCCUUCUCAUUUUAUUUCAUUGAGUUGAUCUUCAACCUCUGAUAUCCUUUCUUCUGCUUGGUCAAUUUGGCUGUUGAAAUUUGCGCAUGCUUUGCGAAGUUCUCGUGUUGUGUUUUUCAGCUCCAUCAAUUCACUCAUAUUCCUCUCUAACUUGUCCAUUCUUGUUAUCAUUUCCUCAAAUCUUUUUUCAAGGUUCUUAGUUUCUUUGCAUUGAGUUAGAACAUGUUCUUUUAGCUCACGGAAGUUUCUCAUUACCCACCUUCUGAAAUCUGAUUCCGUCAUUUCAUCACACUCAUUCUCCAUCCAGCUUUGUUCCGUUGCUGGUGAGGAGUUGUGAUCCCUUGUAGGAGGCGAAGUAUUCUGGUUUCAGGUGUUUUCCUCCUUUUUGCACUGGUUUCUUCCCAUCUUUGUGGAUUUAUUCACCUGUCGUCUGUGUAGUUGCUGAUUUUCAGAUUGAGUCUCUGAAUGGACGUCCAGAUUGUUGAUGAUGAAGUUAUUUCUGUUUCUUAGUUUUCCUUCUAACAGUCUGGCCCCUCUGCUGUAGGACUGCUGAGGUUCACUCCAGGCCCUGCUUGCCUGGGGGUCACCUGCAGCAGCUGCAGAACAGUAAGGGUUGCUACCAGUUUCUUCUUCUGCUAUCUUUGUCUCAGAAUGAUGCCCACCUAAUAUCAGUCUGAUCAGUCCUUUGUGAGGUGACUCUUUGGAUAUACAGGUGUCACGGAGCUGUUUGAGGAGACAGUCUGUUCUUUAUAGGAGCUCAAGUGCUGAGCUGUGAGCUCCAUUGUUCA
Callithrix jacchus (white-tufted-ear marmoset) is the source of this 3017-nucleotide long non-coding RNA. The record is from Ensembl. NCBI's taxonomy places the organism in Eukaryota, Metazoa, Chordata, Mammalia, Primates, Cebidae.